Molecule: long non-coding RNA, 296 nt
Organism: Hippocampus comes (tiger tail seahorse)
Lineage: Eukaryota; Metazoa; Chordata; Actinopteri; Syngnathiformes; Syngnathidae
Exons: 3
Source: RefSeq, a predicted model, not a curated record
GUAUUUUUUAUAAAGCUGAGCCAGGCCCAUCAUCGCCUCCUUGCGCACUCGCCACUGGCAGGAGUAAAACAAACGGAUGAGGUUAAUAAGGAUGCUAUCCAACAGUUCCUGUGUGACUCCAUCUCCCUCCAGGAUGAUAGAACACAUCAGGUCCAUCAUGUGCAUCUGCACUUUCUGAUUGUGGCUGUUGCUGCCAGAAGGAAAGAGGAAGACACACACGGAUUCUCAUUGUAGUGUGCAAGAUUAUAACCACUGUCAAAAGCAGGCUCCUCGCCUUGAGUUUGUCAUGUGAGGUG